UACUAGAGUAGCACUCGCAUAUCAAUAAGCGGAGGAAAAGAAACUAACAAGGAUUCCCCUAGUAACGGCGAGUGAAGCGGGAAGAGCUCAAAUUUGAAAUCUUAAAGGGUUUCCCUUUACGAAUUGUAGUUUAAAGAAGUGUUUUCUGUUGAGGUUUUGGUAAAAGUUCUUUGGAAUAGGACAUCAUAGAGGGUGAGAAUCCCGUAUUUGACCUUUACUUUCAACUUUGUGAUACACUUUCAAAGAGUCGGAUUGUUUGGGAAUGCAGUCCAAAAUGGGUGGUAAAUUUCAUCUAAAGCUAAAUAUUGGCGAGAGACCGAUAGCGAACAAGUACCGUGAGGGAAAGAUGAAAAGAACUUUGAAAAGAGAGUUAAACAGUACGUGAAAUUGUCAAAAGGGAAGCGUUUGACACCAGUGUUGUUUUUCUGAAAAUCAAUUAAAGAACUGUUUAUGCUAAGUUGUUUAGACUUUAUCAGCUAUCUGCUUAGUUUUGAGCUUUUCUUUAAUGCACUUUUCGGUUAACAAGUCAACAUCAAUUCCUUUUGCUGUAAAAAAGCUUGAGGAAGGUGGCUUGAGAUUCGUCUUAAGUGUUUAUAGCCUCUUGCCUAUGCAGUCGGAGAGAUUGAGGUCUGCAGCGUAGAUCCUUCGGGGCUAAAUGCAUUUGUGCUAAGUUAUAGCAUUUUAUAGACAACUUGUUGACUAUGAUUUGUCUUGUAGCUUACUCGCUUAUGUUAUUUUACCUACGCUUAGGAUGUUGAACUCUAUCACACACAG
RNAcentral lists this ribosomal RNA (774 nucleotides) under uncultured Neocallimastigales. RNAcentral's name for it is "partial large subunit ribosomal RNA". It matches the Rfam family "Eukaryotic large subunit ribosomal RNA", at positions 20 to 621 of the family's 3401-position model. The record is from RNAcentral. Lineage: Eukaryota; Fungi; Neocallimastigomycota; Neocallimastigomycetes; Neocallimastigales.